RNAcentral lists this long non-coding RNA (220 nucleotides) under Elaeis guineensis (African oil palm). Its description in RNAcentral is "long non-coding RNA (EGUI_LNC023721)". Lineage: Eukaryota; Viridiplantae; Streptophyta; Magnoliopsida; Arecales; Arecaceae. The record is from RNAcentral.
CAUCAUGCAUGUCCAAGGUGGUGGCUAGGGAGUUGUAUGAUCUCUAUAAGGAUAAGCCAGUUAGAAGGAUGGAUGGCUUUUGGAUCUGCAGGCUUGAAGUCUAUCUGAGAAUCGGUUUGUUCCUUUGGAAGGUCGUCUGAAAAUGCCUUUCGACUGGGGCAUUACUGAGAGCUCGGAGGAUAGAUAUCCAAUUUAUGCAUCUCGAGUGUGACUUGAAUGA